GAGAAUAGUAUUAUAUUUUUCAUAAAUUUUAAAUAAUAUAAAUUUAUAUUUGAUAGUAAAAUUAGUAUUAUAGUAUUCUAUAAUUUUUUUAGUUUAUACGAACCAAUCAAUGAAAUAUGAAUAACUCAUUCCAAUUCCCAAUCCACAAAUAAACCAAACGUCUUGGGGGAGUGGGCCAUUCCAAUUACCAUUCCAAUUCAUUCCCAUUCCAUUAUCCAUUUUAAUUCCACCCUUGAACCAAACAAGCCCUUAG
RNAcentral lists this long non-coding RNA (253 nucleotides) under Ananas comosus (pineapple). RNAcentral's name for it is "long non-coding RNA (ACOM_LNC005661)". Lineage: Eukaryota; Viridiplantae; Streptophyta; Magnoliopsida; Poales; Bromeliaceae. The record is from RNAcentral.